Molecule: ribosomal RNA, 495 nt
Filed under: uncultured bacterium
Lineage: Bacteria
Description: partial 16S ribosomal RNA
Rfam family: Bacterial small subunit ribosomal RNA
Source: RNAcentral
GACGAACGCUGGCGGCGUGCCUAAUACAUGCAAGUAGAACGCUGAAGGAGGAGCUUGCUUCUCUGGAUGAGUUGCGAACGGGUGAGUAACGCGUAGGUAACCUGCCUGGUAGCGGGGGAUAACUAUUGGAAACGAUAGCUAAUACCGCAUAAUAGCAGUUGUUGCAUGAUAACUGUUUGAAAGGUGCAAUUGCACCACUACCAGAUGGACCUGCGUUGUAUUAGCUAGUUGGUGGGGUAACGGCUCACCAAGGCGACGAUACAUAGCCGACCUGAGAGGGUGAUCGGCGAGACUGGGACUGAGGCACGGCCCAGACUCCUACGGGAGGCAGCAGGAGGGAGUCUUCGGCAAUGGACGGAAGUCUGACCGAGCAACGCCGCGGGAGUGAAGAAGGUUAUCGGAUCGGAAAGCUCUGUUGUAAGAGAAGAACGAGUGUGAGAGUGGAAAGUUCACACUGUGACGGUAUCUGACCAGAAAGGGACGGCUAACUACGUG